Molecule: long non-coding RNA, 451 nt
Filed under: Homo sapiens (human)
Lineage: Eukaryota; Metazoa; Chordata; Mammalia; Primates; Hominidae
Description: non-protein coding lnc-KLHDC4-1:10
Source: RNAcentral
CUGCCACCCUGCAGGCCGGGAAGUUGGCAGGUGUGGCGGGUGGGGUGAGGGGUCCGAGUCCCAUGGCCUAGGACGUUCAUUUCUCCGAGGCUCGGUCUCUCCUCUGGUGGGACCAUGUCUCGAAGAGCCCCUGGCUUGGCUUCUGGAGCUGGCGGCCAGAGCCACCAGGAAGAUCAAGGAGCCAGGGCCACCCUCACGUUGCCUAGGCAACAGCAUCCGUGAUCAGACUGUAAGGCAACUGGGACCCAUGCGUGCUCCCCGGGGGAGGCUGCAGGUUCACGUCGGUGUCCGGUGAUAAAGAAGACACGGAUACAGCAAGAAGGAAGGAGGCCCUGUGCACGACACUAAGAUGAGUGACGCCACAGCACGGACCUUUGCUCAAGAUCCGUCAGCAGGAAAUACCCCCCAAGUGCCGAGAGUGCUGGCAUGCAGCAGAGAAGGCUCGACUGGG